Molecule: ribosomal RNA, 505 nt
Filed under: uncultured bacterium
Lineage: Bacteria
Description: partial 16S ribosomal RNA
Rfam family: Bacterial small subunit ribosomal RNA
Source: RNAcentral
GACGAACGCUGGCGGCGUGCCUAAUACAUGCAAGUAGAACGCACAGUUUAUACCUUCGCUUGCUACACCAUAGACUGUGAGUUGCGAACGGGUGAGUAACGCGUAGGUAACCUGCCUGGUAUCGGGGGAUAACUAUUGGAAACGAUAGCUAAUACCGCAUAAUAUUGAUUAUUGCAUGAUACUUACUCGAAAGGUUCAAUUGCACCACUACCAGAUGGUCCUGCGUUGUAUUACCUAGUAGGGGGGGUAACGGCUCAUCUAGGCGGAGAUACAUAGCCGACCUGGGAGGGUGAUCGGCCACAAUGGGAAUUGGACACGGCCCCAGAUCCUACGGGAAGCAGCAGUUGGGGAUCUUCGGCAAUGGAGGAAAGGCUGGCCGAACAACGCCGCGUGGGUGGAGAAAGUUUUCGGAUCGGAAAGCUCUGUUGUAAGGGAAGAACGGGUGUGAGAGUGGAAAGUUCACACUGUGACGGUAUCUUAACAGAAAGGAACGGCUAACUACGUG